This 1323-nucleotide long non-coding RNA is filed under the name Marmota monax (woodchuck). The record is from RNAcentral. Lineage: Eukaryota; Metazoa; Chordata; Mammalia; Rodentia; Sciuridae.
AUCAAAUCAUUCUACAAAAUUUUCUUCUUUCUCUAGUUAAAUUAUUUUAAAAUUUUCUCUUGGAUCUGAAUGGCACUGUGCCCUUCUAAGUGCUCUUCUCCUUUUUUCACAUUAAUGAUUGUGGGUUUUCUUUCAUUCAUUCUCAGAUGAGGAGAGUUCUAUCCAAAUCCGGUGUUUAUCAUGAGAUGCUGAGUUGUAUAUCUAACUUUUCCCCUGAGUCUAGCACAUUCAAAUGCUGUCCUAUACCCAGCUGUAGAUGUAGUCAGUACUUUGAAGUUCAAGAUUUCUAUCACCACCACUGUGUCUACAAUAUAUUCAGUGAGUGGAGGUUAUCCUGACCUGACACGAACUCAUACAGACUUGUUGCCCAACACUGUGUACAGAUGGAACACAUAUUAAAUUACAAUCCUUGGUACGUAUUAUAUUUUCAAGCUUCAUUCUAGCCCUUCAUCCACUAUCCUCCCCGCUUCCUAGCAUUUACUGAGGAUGCUAUAGCUGCUAGGUAUAGUCUACCAGAACUCUGCUUUAAAAAAACAAAAACAAAAACAAAAAAAACCCCAGCAACUUUAUAGUUGUUUUGGUUGGCAUUGACCUUGUGUUUCUGAACCAGGAAAUAGAGUGUGAGGAGAGAGAUGAAAGGUGUUUCUGACAACUUUCAAGAAAGCAGGAUUGCUUCUUUUCUAAAUUAUAACAAGAAAGGGCUAUCAAUUGUUUGUUGCAGUACAGUUUCAUCAGCUUUAAUGGUACUGAAAGUUUCGUCCAGAUUUUGGCAACAGGAUGACAGUGAGCUAUCGUUUUCAAGAUUAUUAUGUUUUUUAGUUUUUCUGUAUCUCAGAUAUUUUAGUAGAAUCCAGUUAAACUGUGAGUCAGAAUCUCAUUUUUUUUAAAAUUCCAUUUGUCACAUUUGAAAGUAUUUAAUCACCCGUGAUGGUUUAAUUUAUUCCUGUUUUUGUUUUCAUCCUAUUUUUCAUAUAUAAUACCCUUCUCAGAAAUAUUUAAAAGUUAGAAGUAUAUGAAACACAUGUAGAAUCUAGACAGAGAACAGAGAUAGCCACAAAACUUAUACAUUUUGAGUUCAUUAUAUGUGCCAGGAAUAGUGCUAAGUGAUUUAUUUUACUUUAAUCUCGUUCUUUGUGGAAGUAAGUAAUCUUAUCACUGUAUCACAUUGAAGAAACUAAGAAAUUAGGUAAUUUAGUCAAGGUACACAGUUAUAUAUUAUUUCAAGUUGGACCUGGAAAAAUUAUGAUCAAGUAGAUCACAUACUAUUAAAUAAUGAUCAUUUCUAACAAACAGCUCUCAGUUUCAUGCUUUAAGUAAAUUAAC